This is a long non-coding RNA of Trichechus manatus latirostris (Florida manatee), 710 nucleotides long. RefSeq lists it as uncharacterized. The transcript has 3 exons. The record is from RefSeq and is a predicted model, not a curated record. Lineage: Eukaryota; Metazoa; Chordata; Mammalia; Sirenia; Trichechidae.
AACAGCUGAGAUGAUCCGAGGAAUUUGGGUUCUCUUUUGAAGACUUACAGAGGAUGAUUCUGCCUGGCUCUACCCAAGAGGGUGCUGCCUCCUGAGAAGCCGACGUGCAUACAACCUUGAGCGUCUCUAGUUAAGGGACUUACUACCUCAGACAACCCCCCUUCUGUUUUAAGUUCUGUUGUUGGAAAACCUAGUAAAUAAUAAAAUGAGCACAACUAAUGACAAAAACGCAUUGCUGCAUCGUUGGCCCAAAGCUCAGCCAUAAAUGUUACUGAAUAUAGUCACCAAUUGGAUCUGGUCAGAAAGCCCCCAAAUGAUGCCAAAUAAGGAGCGUGUGCACUAGAACGCGAGGGCUGGGUGUUGCUUAGGCAUGGCUGGAAGGUACAUUUAAUAUAAAGAGCAUCUUCCUCUAAACGAAUAACUUGUUACCACGGAGCUUGCCAUACCCUAGAUCUCUGCAGGCAGCCAAAUAGAAGAUUGUGUGAUUUCCUGGAUGAUCCUUGCACUUAGCACAAUGUUAUUGAUUACAGUGAUUGAUUAAUGCAGAAAGGAAAAUAUUCUCCUAUUUUAAGGGGAAAGGCAUCUCAGUUACUGGGUUCCAUUUGGGCCUUGCUUACCGUUGUUCUAUUUGGUUUUUUAUUGUAAUGAUUUUCUAUCUCUCUGAAGUUUGAUAUGUGUUUGUUGAUAAUAUAUAUCAACAUAAUUCUCUA